AGUUACCAGCACGUUAUGGUGGGCAACUCUAAGGAGACUGCCGGUGACAAACCGGAGGAAGGUGGGAUGACGUCAAGUCAUCAGUGGCCCUUACGGCCUGGGCUACACACGUGCUACAAUGGUCGGUACAAAGGGUUGCCAAGCCGCGAGGUGGAGCUAAUCCCAUAAAACCGAUCGUAGUCCGGAUCGCAGUCUGCAACUCGACUGCGUGAAGUCGGAAUCGCUAGUAAUCGUGAAUCAGAAUGUCACGGUGAAUACGUUCCCGGGCCUU
RNAcentral lists this ribosomal RNA (271 nucleotides) under uncultured Pseudomonas sp. Its description in RNAcentral is "partial 16S ribosomal RNA". It matches the Rfam family "Bacterial small subunit ribosomal RNA", at positions 1113 to 1382 of the family's 1533-position model. The record is from RNAcentral. Lineage: Bacteria; Pseudomonadati; Pseudomonadota; Gammaproteobacteria; Pseudomonadales; Pseudomonadaceae.